UACAGAGGGUGCGAGCGUUGUUCGGAAUUAUUGGGCGUAAAGCGCUGGUAGGUGGCUUGUUAAGUCGCGUGUGAAAUCUCCAGGCUCAACCUGGAAAGUGCGCGCGAAACUGGCGGGCUUGAGUGCCGGAGAGGGUCGCGGAAUUCCCAGUGUAGAGGUGAAAUUCGUAGAGAUGCGGAGGAACACCGAUGGCGAAGGCAGCCCCCUGGGCCAACACUGACGCUCAGGCACGAAAGCGUGGGGAGCAAACAGG
This 253-nucleotide ribosomal RNA is filed under the name uncultured bacterium. Its description in RNAcentral is "partial 16S ribosomal RNA". It matches the Rfam family "Bacterial small subunit ribosomal RNA", at positions 524 to 776 of the family's 1533-position model. The record is from RNAcentral.